This 251-nucleotide ribosomal RNA is filed under the name uncultured prokaryote. RNAcentral's name for it is "partial 16S rRNA". It matches the Rfam family "Bacterial small subunit ribosomal RNA", at positions 525 to 775 of the family's 1533-position model. The record is from RNAcentral.
ACGUAGGGGGCGAGCGUUGUCCGGAAUUACUGGGCGUAAAGGGUGCGUAGGCGGUUAUUUAAGUCAGAUGUGAAAUCCCCGGGCUUAAAUCGGGUGUUGCAUUUGAAACUGGGUAACUAGAGUGCAGGAGAGGGAAGCGGAAUUCCUAGUGUAGCGGUGAAAUGCUUAGAUAUUAGGAGGAACACCAGUGGCGAAGGCGGCUUUCUGGACUGUAACUAACGCUGAGGCACGAAAGCGUGGGGAGCAAACAG